GCUGGGUGUAGUGGCAUAUGCCUGAAAUCCCAGCUAUUGGGGAGGCUGAGACUGGUUGAUCUCUUGAGCUUAGGAAUUCCAAGUUGCAAUGGGCUAAGAUGAUUGGGUAUUCCCACUAAGUUUGGAACUAAUAUAGUGAGCCCUGGGGACAUGGACCACCGGGUUGCCCAAAGACGGGCAAACAAGCACAGAUCGAAACAGCAGAUCAAAGCUUUUACACUAAUCAGUGCAGGAUUGGGCCCAUAAGUAGCCCCAGCACUUCUAGUCUGUGUAAGAUAGGGAGACCCAGUCUUAA
RNAcentral lists this signal recognition particle RNA (295 nucleotides) under Vombatus ursinus (common wombat). RNAcentral's name for it is "Metazoan signal recognition particle RNA (ENSVURG00010002772.1)". It matches the Rfam family "Metazoan signal recognition particle RNA". From Rfam's summary of the family: The signal recognition particle (SRP) is a universally conserved ribonucleoprotein. It is involved in the co-translational targeting of proteins to membranes. Lineage: Eukaryota; Metazoa; Chordata; Mammalia; Diprotodontia; Vombatidae. The record is from Rfam by way of RNAcentral.